GUUCGAAUCGGGCCGGCAAUUUCUGUUUGUUUCAGAUCAACCAACUGUCAAUAUUUUUAUUUCUUAGUUUAGCUGGUUUUACAUUUGGAGUGAAUUUCCUCUACAACUGUCGUGGAUUACAUGUCCAACCUUCUAGCAGAGAUAAUAUGCAACUAGAUAUAAAGAAAUUAUCGUUUUGGGCCAAAUACUUUGGUUUUACUUGCGAUUUUGACACAUAAAGAAAUGCGCAUAAGUUUCACACAUGGAACGGGACACCAUCCCAUCAAUUAGCUUAAUGAAUCUGUGAUUAAAAUAUUCUUGGUAAAGGUAUCUUUAAUUUAUCCA
Cydia fagiglandana is the source of this 324-nucleotide long non-coding RNA. RefSeq lists it as uncharacterized. Lineage: Eukaryota; Metazoa; Arthropoda; Insecta; Lepidoptera; Tortricidae. The record is from RefSeq and is a predicted model, not a curated record. The transcript is spliced from 3 exons.